AUUGAACGCUGGCGGCAUGCCUUACACAUGCAAGUCGAACGGCAGCGCGGGGCAACCUGGCGGCGAGUGGCGAACGGGUGAGUAAUAUAUCGGAACAUACCCUAGAGUGGGGGAUAACGUAGCGAAGUUACGCUAAUACCGCAUACGCACUAAGGUGGAAAGUGGGGGAUCUUCGGACCUCAUGCUCAUGGAGUGGCCGAUAUCUGAUUAGCUAGUUGGUGAGGUAAAGGCUCACCAAGGCGACGAUCAGUAGCUGGUUUGAGAGAACGACCAGCCACACUGGAACUGAGACACGGUCCAGACUCCUACGGGAGGCAGCAGUGGGGAAUUUGGACAAUGGGGGCAACCCUGAUCCAGCAAUGCCGCGUGAGUGAAGAAGGCCUUAC
Molecule: ribosomal RNA, 386 nt
Filed under: uncultured bacterium
Lineage: Bacteria
Description: bacterial SSU rRNA
Rfam family: Bacterial small subunit ribosomal RNA
Source: RNAcentral